RNAcentral lists this long non-coding RNA (1212 nucleotides) under Falco tinnunculus (common kestrel). RNAcentral's name for it is "lncRNA (ENSFTIG00000011555.1)". Lineage: Eukaryota; Metazoa; Chordata; Aves; Falconiformes; Falconidae. The record is from RNAcentral.
CUGCUCUGAGGUGACCGGUUCCCUCGCUCGGUGGGCUUGAGGUGGAGCGUUGGUGGCAUUUCCUCAGCUGCAGGUGGAAAGGUGCUGAGGGAAUGGCCCUGGAUUUCGGUGGCAGCUGGGCUGGGGGCUGUGGAGGGUCUGGGCAGACCGAGGUGCCACAGGGGCACUGAGCCCCUCGGGUGUGGGUGUCUGGGGUGGGCCUGGGCGCCUGUGGGUGCUCGGUGUGGGUGACUGGGGUGGGCCUGGGCGCCUGUGGGUGCUCGGUGUGGGUGUCUGGGGUGGGCCUGGGCACCUGUGGGUGAUGGCUCCUGUGGGGUGCUCAGUUCCACAUCAGCUGAGGUACCAAAGAGGUGCUGCUGGGGUGUGCAGGUCUGUGGCAGUCAUGGCCGCACACGGUCACAUAUGUUUAUAUGUCAUCAUAAUCAACACUAUAUUUUCCUGAGUUUUAGUAACCUAGCAUUUCUACAGAAGUAAAGUGUUUUUCAUGUUUUACUUCCCCAGUCCCUCUCAGAAGACUUGUGAAGCAGGCUGCACAGUCCCUGUGUGGGAAGGAAAUGAAUGGCAGAAGAGCAUGUCUCUGCAGAAGACCUGACUGGUUGGUGUAAUGUAAGGACGAAACAAAGAGGAGUCCCAGCCCUCGUUGAUUUCUUCUUAGAAGUAUGCCCAGGAGGGAAAACCAGCCAUCCCCAUGAUGCAGCUUUUUUUCUGAAUCCCUGUGGACUGCAGAGCAGGAGGAAGAAGAGGAAGGGAGUGAGUACUCUGCAAAAUAUUCCCCUUGGCUGCUACCCAAGAACUCCUAUGGGAAACUAAGGUACUUUUGUGUGUGGUGCUAAAACAAACCUUAUCUACACCACAAAAAUUAGAGCUGCGUUGGUUAUCUGCUUGCUUUGCCGAGGGUAGCUGUACUCGGGACUGUUCUGGUUCAUACCUGUUCUGCUCACCACGUUCGUCCAUGUUUCCAGGGAGGUCCUCAUCGUGGCUGCAGAAACAGCGCUGAACUUGGUUUGUCCUCGUCUACACUUGCAGCUAAUUCACAUUCAGCCUCGGUGCAGCCGCUUCUGUUGCUGACACCUGUUGUCAGCAGUCGGUAAUUUCUUUUUUUAGGACAAGCCUACAUUGCCCUGGAGCUCAGAAAGGGCCUUAAAUUAGACUUAAUUCUAUUCAGAUGUAGUUAGCGGUAUUUAAUUAGCACAGUCCUGAAGCAAAAGUCAG